Molecule: ribosomal RNA, 1443 nt
Filed under: metagenome
Description: bacterial SSU rRNA
Rfam family: Bacterial small subunit ribosomal RNA
Source: RNAcentral
AGAGUUUGAUCCUGGCUCAGGAUGAACGCUGGCGGCGUGCUUAACACAUGCAAGUCGAACGAACCUUCGGGUUAGUGGCGGACGGGUGAGUAACGCGUGAGAAUCUGCCCUCAGGAGGGGGAUAACGGCUGGAAACGGCCGCUAAUACCCCGUAUGCCGAGAGGUGAAAUGAAUUUCGCCUGAGGAUGAGCUCGCGUCUGAUUAGCUAGUUGGUGUGGUAAAGGUUCACCAAGGCAUCGAUCAGUAGCUGGUCUGAGAGGAUGAUCAGCCACACUGGGACUGAGACACGGCCCAGACUCCUACGGGAGGCAGCAGUGGGGAAUUUUCCGCAAUGGGCGCAAGCCUGACGGAGCAACGCCGCGUGAGGGAUGAAGGCCUCUGGGCUGUAAACCUCUUUUAUCAAGGAAGAAGAUCUGACGGUACUUGAUGAAUAAGCCACGGCUAAUUCCGUGCCAGCAGCCGCGGUAAUACGGGAGUGGCAAGCGUUAUCCGGAAUUAUUGGGCGUAAAGCGUCCGCAGGCGGUCUUGAAAGUCUGUUGUUAAAGCGUGGAGCUCAACUCCAUUUCAGCAAUGGAAACUAGAAGACUAGAGUGUGGUAGGGGCAGAGGGAAUUCCCGGUGUAGCGGUGAAAUGCGUAGAUAUCGGGAAGAACACCAGUGGCGAAGGCGCUCUGCUGGGCCAUAACUGACGCUCAUGGACGAAAGCCAGGGGAGCGAAAGGGAUUAGAUACCCCUGUAGUCCUGGCCGUAAACGAUGAACACUAGGUGUCGGGGGAAUCGACCCCCUCGGUGUCGUAGCCAACGCGUUAAGUGUUCCGCCUGGGGAGUACGCACGCAAGUGUGAAACUCAAAGGAAUUGACGGGGGCCCGCACAAGCGGUGGAGUAUGUGGUUUAAUUCGAUGCAACGCGAAGAACCUUACCAGGGUUUGACAUCCUGCGAAUCCCUUGGAAACUUGGGAGUGCCUUCGGGAGCGCAGUGACAGGUGGUGCAUGGCUGUCGUCAGCUCGUGUCGUGAGAUGUUGGGUUAAGUCCCGCAACGAGCGCAACCCACGUCUUUAGUUGCCAGCAUUAAGUUGGGCACUCUAGAGAGACUGCCGGUGAUAAACCGGAGGAAGGUGUGGAUGACGUCAAGUCAUCAUGCCCCUUACAUCCUGGGCUACACACGUACUACAAUGCUACGGACAAAGGGCAGCAAACUCGCGAGAGCUAGCAAAUCCCAUAAACCGUGGCUCAGUUCAGAUCGUAGGCUGCAACUCGCCUACGUGAAGGAGGAUCGCUAGUAAUCGCAGGUCAGCAUACUGCGGUGAAUACGUUCCCGGGCCUUGUACACACCGCCCGUCACACCAUGGAAGUUGGCCACGCCCGAAGUCGUUACUCCAACCCGCAAGGGAGGAGGAUGCCGAAGGUGGGGCUGAUGACUGGGGUGAAGUCGUAACAAGGUA